CUCUGGUCCCUCCGCAAGUGUUAGCCGCGAACCCCGCCAGGCCCGGAAGGGAGCAACGGUAGUGGUCAAAUGCUGUGCCGGAGUGUGGCUUUUGGGA
RNAcentral lists this signal recognition particle RNA (97 nucleotides) under Cellvibrionales bacterium. Its description in RNAcentral is "signal recognition particle sRNA small type". It matches the Rfam family "Bacterial small signal recognition particle RNA". From Rfam's summary of the family: The signal recognition particle (SRP) is a universally conserved ribonucleoprotein involved in the co-translational targeting of proteins to membranes. Archaeal SRP consists of a 7S RNA and homologues of the eukaryotic SRP19 and SRP54 proteins. In most bacteria, the SRP consists of a 4.5S RNA and the Ffh protein (a homologue of the eukaryotic SRP54 protein). The record is from RNAcentral. RNAcentral also lists the same sequence under 1 other name. Lineage: Bacteria; Pseudomonadati; Pseudomonadota; Gammaproteobacteria; Cellvibrionales.